GGCUAGGACCACGCUGGUCAAUGCAAACCAGAAAAAAGAAGGGUUUAGGUAAGCGCCACGGGGGCCUUGGCUAAGGAGCGCGUCAGGCCGACAGGCGCUGGCGAGCAGGGGAAUCUGCAACUCGCAAGAUGUGGGAGAAGCCACAUGGGGACCUCACAUCUGCUGGAGGCUUUGCGGCUGCAAUCAGGGGGCCAGCGUCAGGGUCGGGUCCCCGCAGACCGCUUGGCCAGACAACGCGGGAGCGGAGCAGCUUAGCCAGCUCUCGACAGGAUCCAGUGUCUGCUGGAGGAGACCCGCUUUCUGUUGUUGUCAUGUCCUUCAGAUGAUUGGAGGGUGGGGAGCGAGGAAAAAGAGAAGAGGAAUCAUGCCUUGAAAUUGGAAGCUGCCAGACAUAUCACAUAGUGACAGUUCUCUGGGGAGGAGACUCUUUUGGAAACCUCCAAACUUUCUCAACCCCCUCAAGCAGAGAGGAGGCUGCUGGUAUUCCCAGUUACCACAGAAUGAUGACCUUUGAAUAGAAUGGCCUAACUAGAUUUCAAGGAUGCAAGGAAAGUAAGUUUCGAAUAAACACGUGAACAAAACUUCCUCCAGCAACUGAUUCCUUUCUGUGAUCUAAAGGAAAUGAUGAGUUCACACAAUCAAGCACAGAAACACAAAUUUUGCUUUUUCCUGGAGUGAAUUAUUGUUCACACCCCUUAGUUUCUGUGUUCUCAUCAGUAAUCCAAACGCCGGUUGUCCAGCAGAGUCCUAAAUCGCCUGGUUAGCGCUCCCACCAGAUAAUCCAUCAGUUUCGUCUGACCGGGAAGCCUCUCUCGGAGCCUCCGGACCUGCUGCAGCCAGAUGGGGGGUCCCCCAGGGGUGGUGCACACCGUUCAUCCCGCGUAGCUCACAGGCUUUGCUGCCGUGUUGCAGCUCCCGGGUCCAGUGCUGCCUGCGUCUCAGAAGAACAGGUGCCGGCAGACGCAAACCUUGACCUUCCAGGGCUCCACACGACACGUGCGCAUUCGCAUGUUUGCUCAGUGCCCUCCCACAGUCGCUCGGUUGUGGCUGUAGCCGUGUGUACGUACAGUGCACGCGUCCGCAGUCUUUGCGCUAAAACACCUGCCUCCAAAGUCGCCCGUGAAGGGGAACAGAGAGCUGGAGGAGUGUAUAUGGUAUUGCUCAGGGCCAGACCUGGAAACGGUUUUCAUUACCUCUGCUCACCUCCCAGUGGCCAGAACUCCAGUCACAGGACCCCCGACCACCCCCACACCCCCCGCCGCCCCCCACCCCUGACUAUGAGGGGCAUUAGGGCAGGUCGUCUGCCGGUGUUCCAGGAAGAAGAAACGCUAUGGGAAAUUUAUAGCAUUAUGUCCGCCGGUCUGCCCGUCUGAUCACCAAACCAUUUUAUUGUUCUUCCAAUAUGUAGACAAAAGACAACAAAACAAUAAUCUCCACUGGUUCUGACCCUCUUGGUCUGGCAACUACGAAGUUAAAAACAAAAAUCACCGGUUGCAUAAACACCCAAAUAAAAAGGUCGCUUGGAGACAAAAAGUACCCCAAACGUUGAAGAACAGCAGAUCGAAGACCAUCACUGCCCUGGAGCAAUUCGGAAAUCCCUCUGGGCAGCAACCCGUGGGAGUAGGGAAACUUCCUGGAUUGGGCCCUGAUUCUGCCUCUGGAAGGAGCUCCUGUGGCUAUUCUGUGAGGCCUUUUUCUCUGCUUUCUGAAAGACUCUUAUUUUUAUUUUCCUUGGUCAUAUCAGACCAGAGUGCUAGCAAACAUGUCCCUUCAGGAGGAAAGUAUAUACAAAGCCUCUGAAGUCUCUUUUUCGGUUGUGGUCAUUGGGCUGCUGGGAUUGUUCCAGUUUUCAAACUGUUCAAGAUUUGGCAGGGGCAGGGGGGCAGUGGUGUCAACCAAAUUCAUGGUUUCUUUGGCAAUACAAUUCCCUCAGAAGCAGAAGUUUCUGAGGUAUUUGCUUUCCAUCAGAUUCAUAGGCAGCAAGUGUAACAAGUUCUUUCCUAAACAUAGGUGUGCCUUCUAGAUAGAGACCCCAGUCAUUGCCUCUCCCUCCCUAUUCUCCCAGUUCAAUGACCACCACACUGAGGUUAUCAGGUGUGAAAGGGACCAUAACGCCCAGGUCACUUUUUCUGAGAGGUUUUACUGUAAGUUUAUGUCUCUUACCUUUUGUGCUUUAUAAAUGAGAAGAUGGCUUUCAGGGUGCAAAUUUCUGUAUCCCCUUUAAUUCCCUUUGAUUUCUCCUUGCACACCAGACAAUCAUUUCCAAAGGCUGUCAUUUGCAACACCUUGCCAAAUGAAUCCCAGAGUGGCCGACUCCCACCAACACUUUCUUUGUAACCAGUUCUCCUUGGGCCUCUAGCUCCCACAUCGCAGCAAGUGAUGGUUUUUUCAAAUGUUUGCCACCACAUAAC
Zalophus californianus (California sea lion) is the source of this 2411-nucleotide long non-coding RNA. RefSeq lists it as uncharacterized. Lineage: Eukaryota; Metazoa; Chordata; Mammalia; Carnivora; Otariidae. The record is from RefSeq and is a predicted model, not a curated record. The transcript is spliced from 5 exons.